RNAcentral lists this unclassified non-coding RNA (216 nucleotides) under uncultured Pseudotomentella. RNAcentral's name for it is "sequence contains ITS1". Lineage: Eukaryota; Fungi; Basidiomycota; Agaricomycetes; Thelephorales; Thelephoraceae. The record is from RNAcentral.
AUGAAGUGAAUGUUGAGAAGGGUUGUAGCUGGCCUCUUGGGGUAUGUGCACACCUUGAUCACAUAUCCACCUAUCACACCUGUGCACUAUGUGUAGCUUGGGAUGAUUACAAUAUUGGAAACAAUGUUGGAAAGCCCUAGCUAUGAAUUUUUAUACACCCACAUAUAAAGUUUAUAGAAUGGAUAAUAUUAUAGCGUAUAAUUACGCAAAUAUAUA